RNAcentral lists this ribosomal RNA (227 nucleotides) under uncultured bacterium. RNAcentral describes it as "partial 16S ribosomal RNA". It matches the Rfam family "Bacterial small subunit ribosomal RNA", at positions 107 to 334 of the family's 1533-position model. The record is from RNAcentral.
UGAGUAACACGUAUCCAACCUGCCGUCUACUCUUGGACAGCCUUCUGAAAGGAAGAUUAAUACAAGAUGGCAUCAUGAGUUCACAUGUUCACAUGAUUAAAGGUAUUCCGGUAGACGAUGGGGAUGCGUUCCAUUAGAUAGUAGGCGGGGUAACGGCCCACCUAGUCUUCGAUGGAUAGGGGUUCUGAGAGGAAGGUCCCCCACAUUGGAACUGAGACACGGUCCAG